GAGAGCCAGAGAGCAGCGAUUGGUCAGACCAUAGAUAAUAUAGAAGACAGCGCGCUAGCGGAGCUAGUCUAUAUAUAUCUAUGGUCGGCACGUUUGGUAGCAUCUCUGGCUGUUGUUGACCUUGUUUUUGGAGUAAAACACGGUAGAAGCUGAAUUAGUGAGGAUGACUCCUGCUCCUGUCAUCUCUAAACUCCUCCCACAUCUUUACCUGCACAUGAGGAAAAUCACUCCUGUAGAAUGCAGUGGUUCAUCAGAACCUCUGGGGAUGUCCUGUGGAUUCUGUGGAUCCUGUGGGUUGCAGGGUGGGUCCUACCUAGACCAGGCUGAUCCUGGACCAUCCCACAGAUGCUCCAUCAGAUGUGGAUGUGGGGAGUGUGGAACCCAGAUGUUCAGAGGGAGAUGAUGCCACAUCUGGUCCAGCUGAUGGAAGGUCUUGAAGUUCUCUGACUGGCCUCGACUGAAGAUGGUCGUCUCACUGGAUUUAAGAGAUGCACAAUGAGGGACGUCUGCAGAGACUGAGAAAGAGUCUCACCACAUCCUGACAUGAGGAAAAAGACUUUAUUGAAGACUACAAUGAGAAAAACUAUCAGACAGCAGACGGCUGCAUUCAAGGUGAGCUCUGAACAUUUAAUCUGGAACAGGAAUUCAAUAACGGCAGCAUGAGCUUCAUUUCAGUCUGUAGCUGCUGAAUUCAUGGAUGAAUCAUCUGGCACUAGAGAAGACCAUCAAACAUCCACGUCAGCUGAUGGAGGUCCAAGAGUCUCACCAAACAAACAACCUACAGAGUGAAGACCUCAGCUCUGAUUGGACGGCCUCCUAUUCAGCCACGUGUGUGAACAAAUGCCUCUAAGCUGAUUUGUUUUCUAAAAUAAAUCUAGUUUGAGUCCUAAUCUAUGCCUGUGUGUUUGCUUCUUUACACGGCUGUUAACAGUUUAGGCUGUUAGAUUGUUCCAGAUAAGACAAGUACAAGAUUCUUCAGAGCCGUUCUACCACGAGCCUGACAGGAAGAACUCCAACAGCUACUGAAUGUUCCUGUGGUCCCCUCAAGGCUACAGGAGGAGCCCUACGAGGACGAGCCGGUCCACCUGAUGGAGGCCAGUCGCUGUGGUUCAAAGCCAACACCGACUACGUGGAAUUUUCACUAAGCCAGCCCUCUGGACUCCCAGUAAGCUGUGUUCCUAUUGGCUGUCCAGGUGGCUGCUUGGUGUUAUCAGGAACACCUGAGCAGCUCAGUGUCUUCCUGCUUUAUUUAGCUGCAGACAAACAUUUCCUCUGUUUCUCUUCACCACAGAACCGGGUUUGGCUCCGUUGCUUCAGUUUGUUCUUUAGGCGUUGGCUUGCAGCUUCCAGCAGUAAAAUUGUUUUUAAUGUGUUUCUUGGUGUGUUUUAGGGCUUUGUACUGGAUAGUUGUCUUGGUAAAUGUGGUUCUUUAGCCACAGUUAGCACAUGGUGCUAAUAUGUGCAGUGAUUAGUGGAUUUGGUGCAGCUGAGUUGUGUCUUUAUCUUGGCUGUAGUGAGUCUUUAGAGGUUUUUGGUCAGACACAUUCUGUAUUCUGGUUUGAGAACCAACGUUGGUUGUCCAGAAGGUAAGAGUUCUUGUCCUGAUUCUCUGUUCUCAGAGGUUCUCUGGUAGGCUGCAGGAGACUUUAGCGUUUGGGUUGUGCUAGUUUGGUUUUUGUAUGGUUUCAUUUGGACGACUAUCUUGAGGCUCCUCCAUGUGGUUUAGUGAGGUUUUCUGGAACAGUUCUACAAAGCAACCUGCAGUAGAAGAGACUUUUGAGAGUUUUUAGGAAGUUCUGGAGACCAGACUUUAGAGCAGCAGAAACAUUUGUCAGCAGUUUGAGCAGGAGAAGGUGAGCUUCAGAGUAGAAAUGAGACAGAAACCUUCUUGAUCUGUGUGGUGAGGUCCUGUACCAAGAGUUUGAGCAGGUUGUGAAGAGUCUGUAGUUCUUUGGUCUGAAAGCACAAGAAGAGUCGACUCAUUAAAGGAGAAAACAGGAGAUGUUGUUGGUUCUUCUGUCGCUCUGCAGUUUCCUUAGACUGAAUAUCAAGUUUAUAUUUUAAAUGAUUUCCCAUGUGAGCCCAAGAAGACUUCAAUAAACUCUCUCCAUCCCCUGGACACAUUUUAUUAUAUUGUUAAAUCUUUUUUUUUUUUUUUUUUUUUUUUUUUUUUUUUAAUGUUUUUGAGCAUUAAUCAUAGUUUUAGCUUUCUCCGAGUGUCCCUGGUCCCAGAGCUGGAUGCUUCAGAUGUGUGGCUGUGUUUUAUGGUCCUUGUGUCCCACCCCCCACCUCUCUAUCUCUACACCUCUAUCUCUACCCCUCUACCUCUAUCUCUACCACUCUACCUCUUCUGUCCCUCUCAACCCGCCCGGCCAGCAGGCAGAUGGGUCCCCCCACAUUAGAGCCGGGUUCUGCUCGAGGUUUUUUUCCCUGUUAAAAGGGUGUUUUCUUUGCCACUGUCGCCUUUUGGCUUGCUCUGGAGGUCAGGCAUAUGGGUUCUGUAAAGCAUCUCAAGACAAUUUGACUGUAAUUGGCGCCAUAUAAAUAAAAUUGAAUUGAAAUUGAAUUUUUUUCUCUUUGCUUGUAUAGUUUUGUCAUCUGUGUGAAAGGUGCUAA
Molecule: long non-coding RNA, 2616 nt
Organism: Amphiprion ocellaris (clown anemonefish)
Lineage: Eukaryota; Metazoa; Chordata; Actinopteri; Pomacentridae
Exons: 5
Source: RefSeq, a predicted model, not a curated record